CCUACGGGUGGCAGCAGUGGGGAAUAUUGCACAAUGGGGGAAACCCUGAUGCAGCGACGCCGCGUGAGUGAAGAAGUAUUUCGGUAUGUAAAGCUCUAUCAGCAGGGAAGAAGAAAGACGGUACCUGACCAAGAAGCCCCGGCUAACUACGUGCCAGCAGCCGCGGUAAUACGUAGGGGGCAAGGGUUAUCCGGAUUUACUGGGUGUAAAGGGAUCGUAGGCGGUAAGGCAAGUCUGAAGUGAAAGCCCAGGGCUUAACCCUGGGACUGCCUUUGAAACUGUUAGACUCGAGUGCUGGAGAGGUAAGUGGAAUGCCUGGUGUAGCGGUGAAAUGCGUAGAUAUUAGGAGGAACACCAGUGGCGAAGGCGGCUUACUGGACAGUAACUGACGUUGAGGCUCGAAAGCGUGGGGAGCAAACAGGAUUAGAUACCCGUGUAGUC
Molecule: ribosomal RNA, 441 nt
Filed under: uncultured bacterium
Lineage: Bacteria
Description: partial 16S ribosomal RNA
Rfam family: Bacterial small subunit ribosomal RNA
Source: RNAcentral